UAGCAUGUUUUAAAUAAUCUUUUUAUAGUUCUACUCACUGGGCAUCUAGCUCACCCCUCUCCCCUAACCCCCAGGUUUGCAGGUACGGGAUAGAUAGAGAAGGCAAGAAGAGAAAAAGUCAUAUGUAUGUAAUAGUUAGUUUGUGGACAUGACAAAUGUAUAAUGAUGAAAUGUAAAAAUAUUCAGUAUGUUAUGUAAUGAGGUUAUUGAGGAUAGAGUUGUGCUUGACCAUAAUAUAUUGUUAAUCCCUUUU
This 253-nucleotide long non-coding RNA is filed under the name Manihot esculenta (cassava). RNAcentral describes it as "long non-coding RNA (MESC_LNC001517)". The record is from RNAcentral. Lineage: Eukaryota; Viridiplantae; Streptophyta; Magnoliopsida; Malpighiales; Euphorbiaceae.